GAUGAACGCUGGCGGCGUGCCUAAUACAUGCAAGUCGAGCGAACAGACGAGGAGCUUGCUCCUCUGACGUUAGCGGCGGACGGGUGAGUAACACGUGGAUAACCUACCUAUAAGACUGGGAUAACUUCGGGAAACCGGAGCUAAUACCGGAUAAUAUAUUGAACCGCAUGGUUCAAUAGUGAAAGACGGUUUUGCUGUCACUUAUAGAUGGAUCCGCGCCGCAUUAGCUAGUUGGUAAGGUAACGGCUUACCAAGGCAACGAUGCGUAGCCGACCUGAGAGGGUGAUCGGCCACACUGGAACUGAGACACGGUCCAGACUCCUACGGGAGGCAGCAGUAGGGAAUCUUCCGCAAUGGGCGAAAGCCUGACGGAGCAACGCCGCGUGAGUGAUGAAGGUCUUCGGAUCGUAAAACUCUGUUAUUAGGGAAGAACAAAUGUGUAAUUAACUAUGCACGUCUUGACGGUACCUACUCAGAAAGCCACGGCUAACUACGUG
RNAcentral lists this ribosomal RNA (497 nucleotides) under uncultured bacterium. Its description in RNAcentral is "partial 16S ribosomal RNA". It matches the Rfam family "Bacterial small subunit ribosomal RNA", at positions 28 to 507 of the family's 1533-position model. The record is from RNAcentral.